This 468-nucleotide ribosomal RNA is filed under the name uncultured bacterium. Its description in RNAcentral is "partial 16S ribosomal RNA". It matches the Rfam family "Bacterial small subunit ribosomal RNA", at positions 28 to 507 of the family's 1533-position model. The record is from RNAcentral.
GACGAACGCUGGCGGCGUGCUUAACACAUGCAAGUCGAACGGAAAGGCCCUGCUUUUGUGGGGUGCUCGAGUGGCGAACGGGUGAGUAACACGUGAGUAACCUGCCCUUGACUUUGGGAUAACUUCAGGAAACUGGGGCUAAUACCGGAUAGGAGCUCCUGCUGCAUGGUGGGGGUUGGAAAGUUUCGGCGGUUGGAGAUGGACUCGCGGCUUAUCAGCUUGUUGGUGGGGUAGUGGCUUACCAAGGCUUUGACGGGUAGCCGGCCUGAGAGGGUGACCGGCCACAUUGGGACUGAGAUACGGCCCAGACUCCUACGGGAGGCAACAGUGGGGAAUAUUGCACAAUGGGCGGAAGCCUGAUGCAGCAACGCCGCGUGCGGGAUGACGGCCUUCGGGUUGUAAACCGCUUUCGCCUGUGACGAAGCGUGAGUGACGGUAAUGGGUAAAGAAGCACCGGCUAACUACGUG